RNAcentral lists this ribosomal RNA (800 nucleotides) under Maritimibacter sp. RNAcentral describes it as "bacterial SSU rRNA". It matches the Rfam family "Bacterial small subunit ribosomal RNA", at positions 51 to 897 of the family's 1533-position model. The record is from RNAcentral. Lineage: Bacteria; Pseudomonadati; Pseudomonadota; Alphaproteobacteria; Rhodobacterales; Roseobacteraceae.
ACACAUGCAAGUCGAGCGAAGACUUCGGUCUUAGCGGCGGACGGGUGAGUAACGCGUGGGAACGUGCCCUUCACUACGGAAUAGUCCCGGGAAACUGGGUUUAAUACCGUAUACGCCCUUCGGGGGAAAGAUUUAUCGGUGAAGGAUCGGCCCGCGUCUGAUUAGAUAGUUGGUGGGGUAACGGCCUACCAAGUCGACGAUCAGUAGCUGGUUUUAGAGGAUGAUCAGCCACACUGGGACUGAGACACGGCCCAGACUCCUACGGGAGGCAGCAGUGGGGAAUCUUAGACAAUGGGCGCAAGCCUGAUCUAGCCAUGCCGCGUGAGUGAUGAAGGCCUUAGGGUCGUAAAGCUCUUUCGCCAGGGAUGAUAAUGACAGUACCUGGUAAAGAAACCCCGGCUAACUCCGUGCCAGCAGCCGCGGUAAUACGGAGGGGGUUAGCGUUGUUCGGAAUUACUGGGCGUAAAGCGCGCGUAGGCGGACUAUUAAGUCAGGGGUGAAAUCCCGGGGCUCAACCCCGGAACUGCCCUUGAUACUGGUAGUCUUGAGUUCGAGAGAGGUGAGUGGAAUUCCGAGUGUAGAGGUGAAAUUCGUAGAUAUUCGGAGGAACACCAGUGGCGAAGGCGGCUCACUGGCUCGAUACUGACGCUGAGGUGCGAAAGUGUGGGGAGCAAACAGGAUUAGAUACCCUGGUAGUCCACACCGUAAACGAUGAAUGCCAGUCGUCGGGUAGCAUGCUAUUCGGUGACACACCUAACGGAUUAAGCAUUCCGCCUGGGGGAGUACGGUCGCAAGAUUAA